GGAACGAAACGCUUGGCGGCAUGGGCUAAGACAUGGCAGGUCGAACGAGACAUGUAGCAAUAUAUGUUUAGUGGCGAAAGGGUGAGGAAUAGAUAGGGACGUACCCCGAACUCGGGGAUAGCGUCCCGAAAGGGGCAGUAAUACGGGAUAAUGUAGUAAUACCAAAGAUUUAUCGGUUUGGGAGCGGCCUAUCUCCUAUCAGCUAGUUGGUGAGGUAACGGCUUACCAAGGCAACGACGGGUAGCGGGACUGAGAGGUUGGCCCGCCACAUCGGGACUGAGACACUGCCCGGACCUCCACGGAGGGCUGCAGUAACGGAUAUUGGGCAAUGGGCGCAAGCCUGACCCAGCAAUGCCGCGUAUAGGAUGAAGCCUUUCGGGGUGUAAACUAUUGUCAGGUCCAAGAAAGUGCGUUUCGGCGCAUUGAUCAGGACCGGAGGAAGUCACGGCUAACUUCGUGCCAGCAGCCGCGGUAAUACGAAGGUGACAAGCGUUGUUCGGAAUCACUGGGCUUAAAG
RNAcentral lists this ribosomal RNA (517 nucleotides) under uncultured bacterium. RNAcentral's name for it is "bacterial SSU rRNA". It matches the Rfam family "Bacterial small subunit ribosomal RNA", at positions 26 to 565 of the family's 1533-position model. The record is from RNAcentral.